UACGUAGGGUGCGAGCGUUGUCCGGAAUUAUUGGGCGUAAAGAGCUCGUAGGCGGUUUGUCACGUCGGCCGUGAAAACCUGCAGCUUAACUGUGGGCGUGCGGUCGAUACGGGCAUCACUGGAGUUCGGCAGGGGAGACUGGAAUUCCUGGUGUAGCGGUGAAAUGCGCAGAUAUCAGGAGGAACACCGGUGGCGAAGGCGGGUCUCUGGGCCGAUACUGACGCUGAGGAGCGAAAGCGUGGGGAGCAAACAGG
This 254-nucleotide ribosomal RNA is filed under the name uncultured bacterium. Its description in RNAcentral is "partial 16S ribosomal RNA". It matches the Rfam family "Bacterial small subunit ribosomal RNA", at positions 524 to 776 of the family's 1533-position model. The record is from RNAcentral.